CAGUCGCCACGGUAAUACGUAGGGUGCAAGCGUUAAUCGGAAUUACUGGGCGUAAAGCGUGCGCAGGCGGUUCUAUAAGACAGAUGUGAAAUCCCCGGGCUCAACCUGGGAACUGCAUUUGUGACUGUAGAGCUGGAGUGCGGCAGAGGGGGAUGGAAUUCCGCGUGUAGCAGUGAAAUGCGUAGAUAUGCGGAGGAACACCGAUGGCGAAGGCAAUCCCCUGGGCCUGCACUGACGCUCAUGCACGAAAGCGUGGGGAGCAAACAGGAUUAGAUACCCCUGUAGUCCCUGUCUCUUAUAC
RNAcentral lists this ribosomal RNA (301 nucleotides) under uncultured bacterium. RNAcentral's name for it is "partial 16S ribosomal RNA". It matches the Rfam family "Bacterial small subunit ribosomal RNA", at positions 509 to 807 of the family's 1533-position model. The record is from RNAcentral.